GAACGGGUGGCCAGGCUCCUGGCAAGUGAUCCACUGGGCUGCCUUAAGCCACCGGUGCAUCAUCCAAGACACCCAGUGGACAGCCAACCCAGAGAUGGACCCGGAGGCCUUACCAGAGGGGCAGCUGGUGUGGACUCAGUAUCUCCAGACCCCCUGUUCCACCCAGUCCUGAUCCACACAUCCCACAGCAGGCCACCUUCACUGAGGACCAGCUCUGGAGCAGCAGGGAGUGGGAAGGGGACCUGGACCCCUUGACUUCAGAGGGAAGGUCUCGGAUGAAAACUCCAUUCUGUUUGAAGACAUCGCUACGCAGAUGGCUGUCCCCCUCCCUCAAUGUGGCCCAGAGAUUCCAUAGGAUGUGGCUUUCUUCCUUAAAUAUUGGAACCACAGACAGCCUGGUGCACUUCUGUCAGAAGGACGUUGGGGCAUGGCAGAAGCAUCCCUGGCCAGGAAAUAAACCUCUCUAAUUUGUUGCAAA
This is a non-coding RNA of Ictidomys tridecemlineatus (thirteen-lined ground squirrel), 478 nucleotides long. NCBI's taxonomy places the organism in Eukaryota, Metazoa, Chordata, Mammalia, Rodentia, Sciuridae. The record is from RefSeq and is a predicted model, not a curated record.